GAUGAACGCUGGCGGCGUGCCUAAUACAUGCCAGUCGAGCGAACAGACGAGGAGCUUGCUCCUCUGACGUUAGCGGCGGACGGGUGAGUAACACGUGGAUAACCUACCUAUAAGACUGGGAUAACUUCGGGAAACCGGAGCUAAUACCGGAUAAUAUAUUGAACCGCAUGGUUCAAUAGUGAAAGACGGUUUUGCUGUCACUUAUAGAUGGAUCCGCGCCGCAUUAGCUAGUUGGUAAGGUAACGGCUUACCAAGGCAACGAUGCGUAGCCGACCUGAGAGGGUGAUCGGCCACACUGGAACUGAGACACGGUCCAGACUCCUACGGGAGGCAGCAGUAGGGAAUCUUCCGCAAUGGGCGAAAGCCUAACGGAGCAACGCCGCGUGAGUGAUGAAGGUCUUCGGAUCGUAAAACUCUGUUAUUAGGGAAGAACAAAUGUGUAAGUAACUAUGCACGUCUUGACGGUACCUAAUCAGAAAGCCACGGCUAACUACGUG
This 497-nucleotide ribosomal RNA is filed under the name uncultured bacterium. RNAcentral's name for it is "partial 16S ribosomal RNA". It matches the Rfam family "Bacterial small subunit ribosomal RNA", at positions 28 to 507 of the family's 1533-position model. The record is from RNAcentral.